RNAcentral lists this unclassified non-coding RNA (240 nucleotides) under soil metagenome. RNAcentral's name for it is "partial contains 5.8S ribosomal RNA, internal transcribed spacer 2, and large subunit ribosomal RNA". The record is from RNAcentral.
AACGCACGAGACCUGCGGACCUGCGGAAGGAUCAUUACAGAGUUCGUGCCCUCACGGGUAGAUCUCCCACCCUUGUGUAUUCCUUACAUUUGUUGCUUUGGCAGGCCGUUGGUUCGCCAACCACCGGCUCGCGGGCUGGUGCGUGCCUGCCAGAGGACCUCUCAAACUCGGUUUGUUAGUGUCGUCUGAGUAUCAUAAACAAUCGUUAAAACUUUCAACAAUGGAUCUCUAGAUCGGAAG